GGCGGGCCUCCCCGCAUUGAAGAGCGAUGAACCUGGUCAGGUCGGGAACGAAGCAGCCAUAGUCGAUUCCUUCAAGUGCCGGGGGUCAGGCUCGCCAUU
RNAcentral lists this signal recognition particle RNA (99 nucleotides) under Burkholderiales bacterium. RNAcentral's name for it is "signal recognition particle sRNA small type". It matches the Rfam family "Bacterial small signal recognition particle RNA". From Rfam's summary of the family: The signal recognition particle (SRP) is a universally conserved ribonucleoprotein involved in the co-translational targeting of proteins to membranes. Archaeal SRP consists of a 7S RNA and homologues of the eukaryotic SRP19 and SRP54 proteins. Lineage: Bacteria; Pseudomonadati; Pseudomonadota; Betaproteobacteria; Burkholderiales. RNAcentral also lists the same sequence under 1 other name. The record is from RNAcentral.